Choloepus didactylus (southern two-toed sloth) is the source of this 130-nucleotide small nucleolar RNA. NCBI's taxonomy places the organism in Eukaryota, Metazoa, Chordata, Mammalia, Pilosa, Megalonychidae. The record is from RefSeq and is a predicted model, not a curated record.
GGUGGCCUUUAUCAAAGUGGCAUCUGCUUCCACAUAGCUGCUGUGAUCAAAAAAAGCCCAGAGGGAAAGUUAUCCUCAACGGUCACUGUUCUGUAACUGAUUCACAACACUGAAAUUGGAAAGGAGGGCU